This 1151-nucleotide long non-coding RNA is filed under the name Triticum aestivum (bread wheat). RNAcentral's name for it is "long non-coding RNA (TAES_LNC001662)". The record is from RNAcentral. Lineage: Eukaryota; Viridiplantae; Streptophyta; Magnoliopsida; Poales; Poaceae.
GGUCGAACUGUGUCUUCCUGAGCAGACCUCGACUGCGCGAACUAACAACAAUGUUGUACUACGUUCACAUGGUCCACUUCUCUCCUUUGUAGUCCAUGCCAUAAAAACUGAUCCUUCCACUAGAGUAAUUAAAUUAUAAUUCUUCAUUUCUAUUCCCUGACAAAAGUGUAACAUAACAGCUAUGUUUGGUAAGCAGUAUCAUAUACUUCAUCUAAAAAAGGGUAUAACAUAUACAAGCGCAUAUAUCAAAUGAAUAUGAGUGUGUAAGAUAUUAUACAGCAUCGCAAAGAGUGUCGAUAGCAUUGUCAAUUUUGCCGAGGUCCAUGAUCAGCUCAUCAAGAACAUUUAGUAUGCUAUUUUCUGUACAAUCCAUUGCUACUCUGCAUGCACACGCACAUGUGGUUUUAGAUAAUGGAGGAGUGACAUUGUUCUUCCAUGCAAGUUAUGUUGAUCACAGAACCAAAUUUUAGGACAAGAAUAGAAGCUAGCUAGUCAGUACUUUCAGUAGUAUCAUUCAUUUAUUUAUUUUACUUGUUGAGGAAAACCUGUUUUUCUUUCUUUAGAAAACAAUCGACAAGACAGGGAACAAAGAAAUCUUCUGAACCAAACCUGGCUAGACUAUGGUGGUGCUCGUGUGUGUGGUAAUUUAGAAAUGAAAACAAGCUAGGAAGAUCAUAGAUGCACCAUAAGAAGAAACAAGCAUUGCAAACAACCAUGGCUGUACAUGAGAGAGAGGGGGAAGAGAGAGAGAGACUUCACCUUGUUCUUCUUCACCAAAACUCUUCCUCAAUAUUCUUCCUUUUCUCUUCUUUGUCGGAUUUGCACACAACUGGGAGAAACCCAUAAAUUGAUAUAUAAAAAUCAGAUUAUUGGUAAAAGGGGAAGAUGUACUAUUAAAAAAAGAAUUAAUUCCCCUUAAACAAAAAUGCCAUCCUAGGAUAAGAAAGAAGAAAACCAACUAACAUGUCUAGCAAUCUAGAAACAGGGAGUCCGGGGAAUAGUUGAUAUGUGAGCAUGAGUUGGUCAAGGAGUGGUAAAAAUCAAAAUAAAUAAGGGCACGUAUAGACUAAUUUCUUCUUAUAUCUAUCUUUCCCUUAAACAAAUGCGGUUCAGAGAUGACCUUGGCUCGUUGGAGCUCCGGAGCAGCCGUG